AGCAACGCGAAGAACCUUACCAAGACUUGACAUCCCGAUGACCCCUCUAGAGAUAGAGGUUUCUCUUCGGAGACAUCGGUGACAGGUGGUGCAUGGUUGUCGUCAGCUCGUGUCGUGAGAUGUUGGGUUAAGUCCCGCAACGAGCGCAACCCUUAAUCUUAGUUGCCAGCAUUCAGUUGGGCACUCUAAGGUGACUGCCGGUGACAAACCGGAGGAAGGUGGGGAUGACGUCAAAUCAUCAUGCCCCUUAUGUCUUGGGCUACACACGUGCUACAAUGGGCAGUACAAAGGGUAGCGAGACCGCAAGGUGGAGCCAAUCCCAAAAAGCUGCUCUCAGUUCGGAUUGCAGGCUGCAACUCGCCUGUAUGAAGCCGGAAUUGCUAGUAAUCGCGGAUCAGCAUGCCGCGGUGAAUACGUUCCCGGGUCUUGUACACACCGCCCGUCACACCACGAGAGUUUGUAACACCCGAAGUCGGUGAGGUAACCGUAAGGAGCCAGCUGCCGAAGGUGGGA
Molecule: ribosomal RNA, 513 nt
Filed under: uncultured bacterium
Lineage: Bacteria
Description: bacterial SSU rRNA
Rfam family: Bacterial small subunit ribosomal RNA
Source: RNAcentral